CAGCGGCACAAAGACACCAUUCUAGACUGCCCCCUGACCAGCAGACGGGAGGGAAGCGAAGGCGGAAGGAAGGGCCCUUCACCAACAGAACCGCCAGCUGCCCUCUGACGGUGCCCUUCCCAUGGCCGCCAAGCCCCAGGGUGACCUGUCACCAGGGUCUGCCAGGAAGCAAUAAGGAGGGGAUUUUGCCAGAAGGCUGGGAAGGGCCUCCAGGGAAGGCGUGGUGGAGGCUAGGAGAGCGGGUUCACAGGGCAGGGUGUCCCUGGGCCAGGCUGUCGGCUGCCCGAGGGGGCCCGAGUGCCCUGGGGAGGCCUCUCUCAGGAAGGUGAGCCAAGGCUCUGUCCUGGAGGGCUGCCUCGUGGAGGAGGAGGAGCGAGCGGCAGACAGGAAGACGACCAGCACUUCCCUCCUGGGACUCGGAGAGCAGAUGAGUGGCGGUGGACGUCCAACCCCGGAGCCUCCCAGCAGUGCGCAGACCAGGAGGCCGAGGGGUCAGGGGACCUCUGAGGUGCACACAGGGUUCCCAACCAUUCCCAUGUGCCUGGAGCUGGACCCAGGAUCUCAGUGCUAAACCAGCCCCAUCCCAGGACGAGGGGGAUGAGCUGGUCACCCUUGGAAGCACCCAAGGUUAGGUGGCAAAGGCAAACUGGGGAUGAGGACUUCAACCUGACAGGAAGGGAAGGCAGAACCCUGGAAACGGAGAUGUUCAAAAAUAAACGCCGAUGCAACACUC
This is a long non-coding RNA of Ictidomys tridecemlineatus (thirteen-lined ground squirrel), 733 nucleotides long. RefSeq lists it as uncharacterized. NCBI's taxonomy places the organism in Eukaryota, Metazoa, Chordata, Mammalia, Rodentia, Sciuridae. The record is from RefSeq and is a predicted model, not a curated record.